GGGGAAUUUUGGGGGGGAUUUUCGGGGCAUUUGGGGUCGGAUUUGUGCCAUUUUUCGUCCAAUUUUUCCAUUUUGGGUCGGAUUUGUGCCAUUUUGGGUCGGAUUUCUGCCAUUUUUGGGUCCGAUUUGGGGCAUUCUGGGUCCGAUUUUUCCAUUUUGGGUUGGAUUUGAGCCAUUUUGGGUCCAAUUUGUGCCAUUUCGGGUCGGAUUUGUGCCAUUUGGGGUCGGAUUUGUGCCAUUUCGGGUCGGAUUUUUGCCAUUUUGGGUCGUAUUUGAGCCAUUUUGGCGCCAUACCUGCUGCACAGGGGUGUAGGUGACGGUGUGGGUGCCGUCGUGGUUGUCCUUCACCUCCAGGUCCCGCACGGCUUCGCCCUUUCCUGGCCCCGUCACCUCCACGUCCAGCGCCGCGCGGCCGGCAGCCUUGGUGAGCACCGUGAACUGCGUGGGCUUCCCCACCUCCAGCCCUGCGGACACGGCACGCCUCGCCAGCGGCCCCAGAAACGUCCCCAAACGCCCCAAAAACGUCCCAAAACGCCCCCAAAAUGACCCAGAACGCCCCCAAAAUGACCCAAAACGCCCCAAAAUGACCCAAAACGCCCCAAAAAUAACCCAAAA
RNAcentral lists this long non-coding RNA (615 nucleotides) under Phasianus colchicus (ring-necked pheasant). RNAcentral describes it as "lncRNA (ENSPCLG00000013782.1)". Lineage: Eukaryota; Metazoa; Chordata; Aves; Galliformes; Phasianidae. The record is from RNAcentral.